Molecule: ribosomal RNA, 642 nt
Filed under: Acinetobacter baumannii
Lineage: Bacteria; Pseudomonadati; Pseudomonadota; Gammaproteobacteria; Moraxellales; Moraxellaceae
Description: bacterial SSU rRNA
Rfam family: Bacterial small subunit ribosomal RNA
Source: RNAcentral
GUUUGAUCAUGGCUCAGAUUGAACGCUGGCGGCAGGCUUAACACAUGCAAGUCGAGCGGGGGAAGGUAGCUUGCUACUGGACCUAGCGGCGGACGGGUGAGUAAUGCUUAGGAAUCUGCCUAUUAGUGGGGGACAACAUCUCGAAAGGGAUGCUAAUACCGCAUACGUCCUACGGGAGAAAGCAGGGGAUCUUCGGACCUUGCGCUAAUAGAUGAGCCUAAGUCGGAUUAGCUAGUUGGUGGGGUAAAGGCCUACCAAGGCGACGAUCUGUAGCGGGUCUGAGAGGAUGAUCCGCCACACUGGGACUGAGACACGGCCCAGACUCCUACGGGAGGCAGCAGUGGGGAAUAUUGGACAAUGGGGGGAACCCUGAUCCAGCCAUGCCGCGUGUGUGAAGAAGGCCUUAUGGUUGUAAAGCACUUUAAGCGAGGAGGAGGCUACUUUAGUUAAUACCUAGAGAUAGUGGACGUUACUCGCAGAAUAAGCACCGGCUAACUCUGUGCCAGCAGCCGCGGUAAUACAGAGGGUGCGAGCGUUAAUCGGAUUUACUGGGCGUAAAGCGUGCGUAGGCGGCUUAUUAAGUCGGAUGUGAAAUCCCCGAGCUUAACUUGGGAAUUGCAUUCGAUACUGGUGAGCUAGAGU